UUUUUUCCUUACAAUAAUUUUAUUCCAAUUAUUUCCAGGACAUGGUCUAGGACCAUGAUGACAGUUUGGAAGGUGAUUUGAACAUGUUUGAUUUCUCCCAAGUGAAGUAAAUUUUACAAUAUUGGCAGGCUUCAAGAAAAGAUUUUUACCCUUAUACCUUACUCAGAUCUUCUCUGUGACCUAUGAAGAAUAUUGUUGGCACUCAAAGACUACUGAUCUGUACACAAUUAGCCUGUGGCCUCAUUAAUUUCUCAUAAAACAAUAGAAUAUUUACAAGAGGAAGUGCUUUCUUACCAAAAGAAAAUGAAGGAGGAAGUAUCUGAAAUAAAUGUAUGGAAACAAACUGAAUUUGGCUUUUCGAAGACAUCUAUGUUGUGGAGAUCCUGACAUCAUAGGAGAGAACAUGGGAACUAGACAGAUGAGAGAGAUGGACAAAGAGACAGACAGAUACAGACAUGCAUAGGUAGAUAUUUAUAUUUCUAAAAAUCCAUACAUGAAUAAUUAGAUUUUUAAAUACCGUUAAACACAGAUUCCUUUGUUAUUGAAACACU
This 551-nucleotide long non-coding RNA is filed under the name Felis catus (domestic cat). RNAcentral describes it as "lncRNA (ENSFCAG00000043851.2)". The record is from RNAcentral. Lineage: Eukaryota; Metazoa; Chordata; Mammalia; Carnivora; Felidae.